Long non-coding RNA from Prunus persica (peach), 172 nucleotides. RefSeq lists it as uncharacterized. Lineage: Eukaryota; Viridiplantae; Streptophyta; Magnoliopsida; Rosales; Rosaceae. The transcript has 2 exons. The record is from RefSeq and is a predicted model, not a curated record.
UAGUAAUUUGCAGAGGUUGAUGAUGGGGUUGAUGUGGCCUCUACCAGGAUAAGGCACCGCCACUACAUGGAGGACGUUGGAGGAGGUUUCAUUUGUUUAGAGUGCCCAUUGGACGAUGGUUAAUAUGAAAUUGUCAAAAUUUUCGUUUUUGAUAACGCGAUAUUUUAAAUUA